This 320-nucleotide ribosomal RNA is filed under the name uncultured Bacteroidales bacterium. RNAcentral's name for it is "partial 16S ribosomal RNA". Lineage: Bacteria; Pseudomonadati; Bacteroidota; Bacteroidia; Bacteroidales. The record is from RNAcentral.
GGAGUUUGGACCGUGUCUCAGUUCCAAUGUGGGGGACCUUCCUCUCAGAACCCCUACUGAUCGUCGGCAUGGUGGGCCGUUACCCCGCCAUCUACCUAAUCAGACGCAUCCUCAUCCAUCGCCGAUAAAUCUUUACUUACUAGGAGAUGUCUCCAUGUAAGACCAUCAGGUAUUAAUCUUUCUUUCGAAAGGCUAUCCCUGAGCCAUGGGUAGAUUGGAUACGUGUUACGCACCCGUGCGCCGGUCGCCAUCUAUCAAAGCAAGCUUCGAUAAUGCUGCCCCUCGACUUGCAUGUGUUAAGCCUGUAGCUAGCGUUCAUC